CCUACGGGAGGCAGCAGUGGGGGAUAUUGCACAAUGGGGGAAACCCUGAUGCAGCGACGCCGCGUGUGGGAAGACGGUCCUCUGGAUUGUAAACCACUGUCCCCAGGGACGAAGAUGACGGUACCUGGGGAGGAAGCUCCGGCUAACUCCGUGCCAGCAGCCGCGGUAAUAGGUAGGGAGCGAGCGUUGUCCGGAAUUACUGGGUGUAAAGGGAGCGUAGGCGGGACUGCAAGUUGGGGGUCAAAUCUACCGGCUCAACCGGUAGCCGCACUCAAAACUGCAGUUCUUGAGUGAAGUAGAGGCAGGCGGAAUUCCUGGUGUAGCGGUGAAAUGCGUAGAUAUUAGGAGGAACACCAGUGGCGAAGGCGGCCUGCUGGGCUUUUACUGACGCUGAGGCUCGAAAGUGUGGGGAGCAAACAGGAUUAGAUACCCGGGUAGUC
RNAcentral lists this ribosomal RNA (440 nucleotides) under uncultured bacterium. Its description in RNAcentral is "partial 16S ribosomal RNA". It matches the Rfam family "Bacterial small subunit ribosomal RNA", at positions 338 to 795 of the family's 1533-position model. The record is from RNAcentral.